UUUCCGUAGGUGAACCUGCGGAGGGAUCAUUACUGAGUUUACGCUCUAUAACCCUUUGUGAACAUACCUAUAACUGUUGCUUCGGCGGGUAGGGUCUCCGCGACCCUCCCGGCCUCCCGCCUCCGGGCGGGUCGGCGCCCGCCGGAGGAUAACCAAACUCUGAUUUAACGACGUUUCUUCUGAGUGGUACAAGCAAAUAAUCAAAACUUUUAACAACGGAUCUCUUGGUUCUGGCAUCGAUGAAGAACGCAGC
RNAcentral lists this unclassified non-coding RNA (253 nucleotides) under uncultured fungus. RNAcentral's name for it is "sequence contains ITS1, 5.8S rRNA gene". The stretch from base 205 to 253 matches the Rfam family "5.8S ribosomal RNA", at positions 1 to 49 of the family's 154-position model. The record is from RNAcentral. Lineage: Eukaryota; Fungi.